GGGCAAUCUGCCCUGCACUCUGGGACAAGCCCUGGAAACGGGGUCUAAUACCGGAUACUGAUCAUCUUGGGCAUCCAAGGUGUUCGAAAGCUCCGGCGGUGCAGGAUGAGCCCGCGGCCUAUCAGCUUGUUGGUGAGGUAAUGGCUCACCAAGGCGACGACGGGUAGCCGGCCUGAGAGGGCGACCGGCCACACUGGGACUGAGACACGGCCCAGACUCCUACGGGAGGCAGCAGUGGGGAAUAUUGCACAAUGGGCGAAAGCCUGAUGCAGCGACGCCGCGUGAGGGAUGACGGCCUUCGGGUUGUAAACCUCUUUCAGCAGGGAAGAAGCGAAAGUGACGGUACCUGCAGAAGAAGCGCCGGCUAACUACGUGCCAGCAGCCGCGGUAAUACGUAGGGCGCGAGCGUUGUCCGGAAUUAUUGGGCGUAAAGAGCUCGUAGGCGGCUUGUCGCGUCGGUUGUGAAAGCCCGGGGCUUAACCCCGGGUCUGCAGUCGAUACGGGCAGGCUAGAGUUCGGUAGGGGAGAUCGGAAUUCCUGGUGUAGCGGUGAAAUGCGCAGAUAUCAGGAGGAACACCGGUGGCGAAGGCGGAUCUCUGGGCCGAUACUGACGCUGAGGAGCGAAAGCGUGGGGAGCGAACAGGAUUAGAUACCCUGGUAGUCCACGCCGUAAACGGUGGGCACUAGGUGUGGGCAACAUUCCACGUUGUCCGUGCCGCAGCUAACGCAUUAAGUGCCCCGCCUGGGGAGUACGGCCGCAAGGCUAAAACUCAAAGGAAUUGACGGGGGGCCCGCACAAGCGGCCGGAGCAUGUGGGCUUAUUUCGACGC
RNAcentral lists this ribosomal RNA (830 nucleotides) under Streptomyces sp. RNAcentral describes it as "bacterial SSU rRNA". It matches the Rfam family "Bacterial small subunit ribosomal RNA", at positions 119 to 957 of the family's 1533-position model. Lineage: Bacteria; Bacillati; Actinomycetota; Actinomycetes; Kitasatosporales; Streptomycetaceae. The record is from RNAcentral.